RNAcentral lists this microRNA precursor (72 nucleotides) under Pelobates cultripes (western spadefoot toad). Lineage: Eukaryota; Metazoa; Chordata; Amphibia; Anura; Pelobatidae. The record is from RNAcentral.
ACAAGCACAAUCACUGACCCACACACAAACAUUGUAUGUAAUGUUUGUGCGUGGGUCAGUGAUUGUGCUUGU